This is a long non-coding RNA of Cebus imitator (Panamanian white-faced capuchin), 251 nucleotides long. RefSeq lists it as uncharacterized. The transcript is spliced from 3 exons. Lineage: Eukaryota; Metazoa; Chordata; Mammalia; Primates; Cebidae. The record is from RefSeq and is a predicted model, not a curated record.
CCUCCCUCCCCCUAGUUAUCUCAGCCUCUUUCCACAAGAAAAAGGAGAUGACCAGUCCUGUUGGACAGAUGGGGAAACUGAGGCCCAGAAGCUGGGGAUUUACAAGAUGCCAAGAACUCUGCUAGAGGAAACCAGACGACACAUUGUUGAGGGCCUGUGGUAUGUCCUCAGCUGCACACCGGAUUCAGGAAGACUGGGGCGCAGGCCUCAGGAGGCAAAAACACAAAGUCUCAUUUUGUCAUCCAGGCUGG